RNAcentral lists this ribosomal RNA (257 nucleotides) under uncultured bacterium. Its description in RNAcentral is "partial 16S ribosomal RNA". It matches the Rfam family "Bacterial small subunit ribosomal RNA", at positions 524 to 777 of the family's 1533-position model. The record is from RNAcentral.
UACGAAGGGGGCUAGCGUUGCUCGGAAUCACUGGGCGUAAAGGGUGCGUAGGCGGGUCUUUUAAGUCAGGGGGUGAAAUCCUGGAGCUCAACUCCAGAACUGCCUUUGAUACUGAGGAUCUUGAGUUCGGGAGAGGUGAGUGGAACUGCGAGUGUAGAGGUGAAAUUCGUAGAUAUUCGCAAGAACACCAGUGGCGAAGGCGGCUCACUGGCCCGAUACUGACGCUGAGGCACGAAAGCGUGGGGACGCAAACAGGG